GACGAACGCUGGCGGCGUGCUUAACACAUGCAAGUCGAACGGUGAAGCGCGUGCUUGCACUCGUGGAUCAGUGGCGAACGGGUGAGUAACACGUGAGUAACCUGCCCAUCACUCUGGGAUAAGCACUGGAAACGGUGUCUAAUACUGGAUACGACCACCCCUUGCAUGGGGGGUGGGGGGAAAGAUUUGUCGGUGAUGGAUGGACUCGCGGCCUAUCAGCUUGUUGGCGGGGUAAUGGCCAACCAAGGCGACGACGGGUAGCCGGCCUGAGAGGGUGACCGGCCACACUGGGACUGAGAUACGGCCCAGACUCCUACGGGAGGCAGCAGUGGGGAAUAUUGCACAAUGGGCGAAAGCCUGAUGCAGCGACGCCGCGUGAGGGAUGACGGCCUUCGGGUUGUAAACCGCUUUCAGCAGGGAAGAAGCGAAAGUGACGGUACCUGCAGAAGAAGCACCGGCUAACUACGUG
This 469-nucleotide ribosomal RNA is filed under the name uncultured bacterium. RNAcentral describes it as "partial 16S ribosomal RNA". It matches the Rfam family "Bacterial small subunit ribosomal RNA", at positions 28 to 507 of the family's 1533-position model. The record is from RNAcentral.